CCCAACAUGGGCUUUUUAGCCCAAAGCAUUUAAACCCAAAGGAACCAUUCCAUGUUUGCAAAUAAGGGGGUUAACUUUAACUAUGUGGCUCAUUUAGAACUUGGGUCAUUGGUUCGACCGUUGGUUUAGGCAGGUUUGAUACCUAAAUGGUUUAAUAGAGCAAAUUGGACAGGUCGACGAUUGAACCGGUUGGACUGGUCGAUUUUUAAAACAUUGUUGAAAACAAAUAAAAAAAUUAUAUGACAAAAUGAUUCCUCAAAUUUCUCUUAAUAAAAAAUAGUUAAUCAUUUUUUUUAAUUAUAUUUAAUUUUCUUAGAAUUACAUCCCAUCAGCAUAAAGGAUGUUACCGUCCCAGUUUAAGAGAUCACAUGGCCAUGAAAUAGACCGGAGUGACCUAUAUAUGCAGCCGCCAUAAUUAGUACUCACCCACAAGUAGAUUAAUCCUCAGAGAAUAUACAGAGCCCCUUUAGCUGACAGUGGCCCCCUUUAAGGUAUCUCUCUGGUUGCUUUCAAUCAACUUCCUUCCUCUUAACUUUUUCGUUUUUCUUUGCCUGCAGGUACAUUUCAUAUAUUUAACUUCAAGCAGCUUCAUUCCUUCAUCAAAUGAGCUUCUUCCAGGUUGGGACCAUAUGAUGGCACUAGCCUUACAUAUCCUUAUAAGAUGGUGGUGGUGCGGAAUCCCAUAUCCAUGGUGGCAGGGGCCACCACCACGUUCCUCAUAGCAUGACUUACAGCUAGCACACUCCAAUUGGAUAGAUGAAUGCUAAAUACCCUGGUACUGGAGGUGGCGGUGGCGGUGAUCAAAUGAGCUUCUUCCAGGUUGGGACCAUGUGUUGAUGAUGCUAUGGAUGCAUCCCUCCCCCUCAUUUCUUUACGUACAAUCAUCAAGAUAUUAGUCAACUUUGGUCCCCUCGUUACUUUCUUUACCUCAGAUUUGAAUACGCGAUUUCUUUACAUACAAUCAUCAAGAAAAUACUUGUUUGUGUACGUAGUGAAUGCAGAUACAUGAGACAUUGACUUGCAGAAUUGUAUAGAACCUGAAAGAUCAUAAAGUUCACAAAUGGUUGCAGAAUUCUCCAGUACCACUGUACCAGAGUUCCAUACCAGUACCUUGUGGGGUAUUCUGAGGAUUGAAACAUUCAGGGCGUCUUCCAAAGGGCCCUUACAAAAGGUGCUUUUGAUAAUCUUUUUAUUCUCCUUUUUAAGUGAAUUAUAAGCAAAUCAACAUCUAUUAGUCCACAAAUAUUAUUGGCCUAUGCAACCUUUAUGUUGUGGACGAGAAAGGAACCGAAAAGAACUGAUCACCGACUCAACACCCAACUGAGAAGGGGAACUAAAGAAACUAGACAACGACAAUCACGAUGGAGUAUGAUUCACAUGAUGGUGCAUAUGGGAUUUUCUUCACUAAGGAAUUCACAGCGGCAACCAUAGCUUCUGUCACAGCGANNNNN
This 1451-nucleotide long non-coding RNA is filed under the name Vitis vinifera (wine grape). RNAcentral's name for it is "long non-coding RNA (VVIN_LNC008095)". The record is from RNAcentral. Lineage: Eukaryota; Viridiplantae; Streptophyta; Magnoliopsida; Vitales; Vitaceae.